GGGAAAGGAAACAAAGGGAAAAGAAUACCAUUAGUUUCAUAAUUGGAAGAUAGGUUAGGGUCAUCAUACCAAAACGUUUACAAGUUCUGUAUGACUGGGAUUAGGUAUAUAAUACCAGCAAACUAAGCGAAAGAUGCAAUGCAAUAGAACCAUAAUUCAAGAGCUACCUGUGGUCCUGUUACAAGCUCUAGUAACCAUAACUUUUUCUCCGGGGGGCAGAGUU
RNAcentral lists this unclassified non-coding RNA (223 nucleotides) under Hevea brasiliensis (rubber tree). Lineage: Eukaryota; Viridiplantae; Streptophyta; Magnoliopsida; Malpighiales; Euphorbiaceae. The record is from RNAcentral.